CCCUUGCUGUCUCUGCCUUGCCGGUUCCCCUCUUUCCACUGGGAUUCUCUGCCUCUAACCCUUUUACAGGGGCUGAGUCACUGGCUUACUGGUGUUCUUCCAUGCCGUCCAUGGGAGGGGUGCGUCACUUGAGUGGGUUGAGUCACUGACGUGGUCUUCCUGUCUGGGUUGGCGCCCCCCCUUGGGUUGUGCCAUGGCGGAGAUCGUUGUGGGCUAUACUCGGCCUUGUCUUAGGAUGGUAAGUUGGUGGUUGGAGACAUCCCUCUAGUGGUGUGGGGGCUGUGCUUUGGCAAAGUGGGUGGCGUUAUGGGUCCUACAGUAGGUCUAUGUUAUUGUUAGGUGAAGUUAUGGGUCCUGCAGUAGGUCUAUGUUGUUGUUAGGUGAAGUUAUGGGUCCUACAGUAGGUCUAUGUUGUUGUUAGGUGAAGUUAUGGGUCCUACAGUAGGUCUAUGUUAUUGUUAGGUGGAGUUAUGGGUCCUACAGUAGGUCUAUGUUAUUGUUAGGUGAAGUUAUGGGUCCUACAGUAGGUCUAUGUUGUUGUUAGGUGAAGUUAUGGGUCCUACAGUAGGUCUAUGUUGUUGUUAGGUGAAGUUAUGGGUCCUACAGUAGGUCUAUGUUGUUGUUAGGUGAAGUUAUGGGUCCUACAGUAGGUCUAUGUUGUUGUUAGGCGGAGUUAUG
RNAcentral lists this long non-coding RNA (678 nucleotides) under Salmo salar (Atlantic salmon). RNAcentral describes it as "lncRNA (ENSSSAG00000106250.1, ENSSSAG00000110810.1)". Lineage: Eukaryota; Metazoa; Chordata; Actinopteri; Salmoniformes; Salmonidae. The record is from RNAcentral.